AGUGUCUCUUCCUAGCUAUAAAGAGUGGCUUACUUUUAUAUAUAAAUAUAUUUUCUUUUCAAUUUAAGAGUCAUGUUUUAUAAUUAUGUCGAGGUGGUUCUCCAGAGAGAAAGGGAAGACGCUAAGAGAACAAAAAUGCUGGAAACAACCGAAAUAGAAGCAGUGUCUGAUGAAAGCGAGUUUCUUGAAGACUCACCUGAUGAACUCCACCUGUAAGGCUAAACCAUUGCGUGUGGCAAAGAGUACAUAUACUCCACCUUGGGAAUCCGUCUUUCUGACCUCCUUCUAAUGCAAAUGGAGAUUGCUGCAGCAGGAUUCGAGGCUGCAUCUUGGGGAUCUGCCAGAAACUCCCAGUCAGAGUACAAUGAGUGCAUUCACAAAGAAGCAUUCACAAAUGUCAGAAGGAUCCCUCCAGCUAUUCAGAACUGACUUCAUGGGCAGCUUGUCAUGUUUAAUUCCAACAGUUCUUUACCUGAAUGCUCCAAGAUAUUGAUGAAGUAAACAACUAUGUCAAGCCUUGCAACACUAGAAAUCUUGGACAAACCUGGGAGACAGAUUGUCAAUAUCUAAGAUGAAUUAAAAAGGUUGUGUAAGUACAGAGCUUAUUAAACAGUGAAGUAAUAUGCAGACGUGCGAAGAAGGUUACCGUCUAAUGAGCAUGUUAGACCACUGUGCUGCGGUCAUGCGCUGAUUGCAUUCUCUCACUGGGUCUCCAUCAAGUCAAGUGCAAAUCUCCAGCAGGAUUCAAGGAUGUUAGCAUGAAUAUAAACCUGGAUAAUGGAUGCUACUAAGGGGCUAAAGUUUAUUCAGGAACCUUGCAAGAUUAGAGUCUCACAACAGUGUGAUGCAGCCAUGAUCAUUCAGGCCUUUACAGCCAUUGAAGCAGGACAUUCUCCCCAAGCAUGGUUGGAUACCAUAAAAAGCUAAAAUGUUACACUCAGGAUGCGAGGCUAAGCACUGCACUCAGAGUCAGCCGCUUUGGACCCAGAGAAGAGCAUGUCUGGUUUCAUGCGGGUUGAUGCCCCAGGUCCCGCCUCUGGGAAAAAGAAAGAAAGAAAAAAAAAACUUCUUAAGUUGGGGUACAUGUGACAAAGUCAAGGAACUUUAUGGAACUCUCUGCAGUCUCGCUGCUGUAAGAUUGAGGUGAUAGGUACCACACAGAUGACAAUGGAGUUCAGGUGAAUGCUGUCCAUUCCUGCAGAGAAAGCUUACAACCAAGAGCUGUUGGACCAUGGUGCUAUCCAGAAAACAAAGAAAACUAGACAAAAUCAUUGGAGGAUACACGAUGGCGGCACUGACCAUGCAGGGUAUAUGAACCAGCUCAGUGGUGAGAGCAGAGCAACCAGCAUUCUGCAAUGUGGACUCCAAACUCCAGACAUCUGUGUUUUACAGAAAAAGAAAGGCCUCCCAUGGAUAUCAACCAGCCUUAGCAAAUCAGAUUGCAGUAUGUCUAUAUGCCUCCUCUCCUUCUGAAGCUAGAGAUCUGAUGCUCUCUGUGGCCACCGUGCGUACUGGACACAUAGGACACUAAGAUAUACAUGAAUACAGAGGCAGGUGAGGCCAUUUUAUAAGAGCCAGAUUGUCACUCAACUAAACGGAACGCUGGAGUUACCUGGAAGAGUCAAGGAGAAAAUAUUCAACAAUGGUAAAAAUACCUCACAGCUUCACUCGAUAUAUUUUCAAGGUUAUUUUUAGUAUUCCAAAGACUGGCUGAGACACUUGAUUCUAUCCAGAUUCUAAAACGCUGUAUUUACUAAAUGCAUUUCUACAUUUCCUCCACUGUUUCUUUUUGAUCUGUGGGACAAAUUGCUAAAUACAACGUAUUUCCCCCAAAGAUGUCAAUCCACUGGACUCUGAAUUUGCUAG
Long non-coding RNA from Meriones unguiculatus (Mongolian gerbil), 1866 nucleotides. RefSeq lists it as uncharacterized. The record is from RefSeq and is a predicted model, not a curated record. Lineage: Eukaryota; Metazoa; Chordata; Mammalia; Rodentia; Muridae. The transcript has 11 exons.